CCCAGUAAACGGCGGCCGUAACUAUAACGGUCCUAAGGUAGCGAAAUUCCUUGUCGGGUAAGUUCCGACCCGCACGAAAGGCGUAACGAUUUGGGCACUGUCUCAACGAGAGACUCGGUGAAAUCAUAGUACCUGUGAAGAUGCAGGUUACCCGCGACAGGACGGAAAGACCCCGUGGAGCUUUACUGUAGCCUGAUAUUGAAAUUCGGCACAGCUUGUACAGGAUAGGUAGGAGCCUUUGAAACGUGAGCGCUAGCUUACGUGGAGGCGCUGGUGGGAUACUACCCUAGCUGUGUUGGCUUUCUAACCCGCACCACUUAUCGUGGUGGGAGACAGUGUCAGGCGGGCAGUUUGACUGGGGCGGUCGCCUCCUAAAAGGUAACGGAGGCGCUCAAAGGUUCCCUCAGAAUGGUUGGAAAUCAUUCAUAGAGUGUAAAGGCAUAAGGGAGCUUGACUGCGAGACCUACAAGUCGAGCAGGGUCGAAAGACGGACUUAGUGAUCCGGUGGUUCCGCAUGGAAGGGCCAUCGCUCAACGGAUAAAAGCUACCCCGGGGAUAACAGGCUUAUCUCCCCCAAGAGUUCACAUCGACGGGGAGGUUUGGCACCUCGAUGUCGGCUCAUCGCAUCCUGGGGCUGUAGUCGGUCCCAAGGGUUGGGCUGUUCGCCCAUUAAAGCGGUACGCGAGCUGGGUUCAGAACGUCGUGAGACAGUUCGGUCCCUAUCCGUCGUGGGCGUAGGAAAUUUGAGAGGAGCUGUCCUUAGUACGAGAGGACCGGGAUGGACAUACCUCUGGUGUACCAGUUGUCGUGCCAACGGCAUAGCUGGGUAGCUAUGUGUGGACGGGAUAAGUGCUGAAAGCAUCUAAGCAUGAAGCCCCCCUCAAGAUGAGAUUUCCCAACUUCGGUUAUAAGAUCCCUCAAAGAUGAUGAGGUUAAUAGGUUCGAGGUGGAAGCAUGGUGACAUGUGGAGCUGACGAAUACUAAUCGAUCGAAGACUUAAUCAA
Molecule: ribosomal RNA, 1004 nt
Filed under: Staphylococcus aureus
Lineage: Bacteria; Bacillati; Bacillota; Bacilli; Caryophanales; Staphylococcaceae
Also listed under: 1 other name
Description: partial 23S ribosomal RNA
Rfam family: Bacterial large subunit ribosomal RNA
Source: RNAcentral